This 520-nucleotide ribosomal RNA is filed under the name uncultured Glomus. RNAcentral describes it as "SSU rRNA". It matches the Rfam family "Eukaryotic small subunit ribosomal RNA", at positions 569 to 1094 of the family's 1831-position model. Lineage: Eukaryota; Fungi; Glomeromycota; Glomeromycetes; Glomerales; Glomeraceae. The record is from RNAcentral.
AGCAGCCGCGGUAAUUCCAGCUCCAAUAGCGUAUAUUAAAGUUGCUGCAGUUAAAAAGUUCGUAGUUGAAUUUCGGGAUCAAUAUGUUGGUCGUGCCUCGGUACGUACUAGCUUAUUGGUUUCUUCCUUCUGACGAACCAUAAUGUCAUUUAUUUGGUGUUAUGGGGAAUCAGGACUGUUACUUUGAAAAAUUAGAGUGUUUAAAGCAGGCUCACGCUUGAAUACAUUAGCAUGGAAUAAUGAAAUAGGACGUUUGAUUCUAUUUUGUUGGUUUCUAGGAUCGACGUAAUGAUUAAUAGGGAUAGUUGGGGGCAUUAGUAUUCAAUUGUCAGAGGUGAAAUUCUUGGAUUUAUUGAAGACUAACUACUGCGAAAGCAUUUGCCAAGGAUGUUUUCAUUAAUCAAGAACGAAAGUUAGGGGAUCGAAGACGAUCAGAUACCGUCGUAGUCUUAACCAUAAACUAUGCCGACUAGGGAUCGGAUGAUGUUAAUUUUUAAUGACUCAUUCGGCGCCUUACGGG